GGUGGAGGAUAGUCCCACCAAGCAUUUGGUGGACAAUAUGGAAGGAGAGGAAUUCUAGGUGUUUUGAGAGCAUCGAGAACAGCAUGCAACAGAUUAAGCUUAAUUGGAUCUUGCUACUGUGUUUUUGGUGUAAUUAGUUACUUUUAAAUGAUCCUGUCUCUAUCAUUGAUGUCUCAGACUCAUUAUAGACAUAGGAUCAUAGAAUCAUAGAUGUAGG
This 217-nucleotide unclassified non-coding RNA is filed under the name Hevea brasiliensis (rubber tree). The record is from RNAcentral. Lineage: Eukaryota; Viridiplantae; Streptophyta; Magnoliopsida; Malpighiales; Euphorbiaceae.